Long non-coding RNA from Pleuronectes platessa (European plaice), 493 nucleotides. RefSeq lists it as uncharacterized. The transcript has 3 exons. NCBI's taxonomy places the organism in Eukaryota, Metazoa, Chordata, Actinopteri, Pleuronectiformes, Pleuronectidae. The record is from RefSeq and is a predicted model, not a curated record.
UCGUUGGCUUCUCCAUUGACCAGACCAUUAGUCUCCCUCCUCCCCGUGCACGACACCCUGAACAGGAGUGAAUAGGACUUCACCAUGUGGCUGUUGCUGGGCUCAAACUCGUUGCUGGAGACCAGCAAGGACGGGUAGGAGCCAGGCUUGGUUUGGUUACUGUCAGGAUUCAAAGGCACCUGUUUUUUACCUGUAGGCACUUGUUUUAUUGGGCAGCUGACAUCCUGAAAGGAAAACAAGCAUAACCAGAAAUCUACUCAACACAAGCAUCUAAUGAGGAGUGAACUCUGCUUACCAUCCUUAUGGAAGAACCCAGUGAAGGUUAACUGUAAAUGUGAAGACAAGCUAAAAGAGCCAAAAGGAAAGUGCACAGAUCUGUUACCUUGGAGAAUCCUGCUCUCCCUUCAUCUUCUCCACUAUCUGCAACAUGUCAUCCACUUUGAAUGUUUUCCUGGAUGGAAGGAUUAGAAAACAAAAGCAUGCAGGUUCCAAA